AAGUCGUAACAAGGUUUCCGUAGGUGAACCUGCGGAAGGAUCAUUACAAAUCCACGAGUCACCCUCACCGGUCGACCCACCACAACGUUGAACCCUCCCCCUCGGCGCGCGGACUCUCGCGCGCCUCGAGGACCCUAUUUGACCCCACCGUGACACCCAAUACCACGAAUGUACCAACAACAACAACAACCUAGAAACAACUUAUAACAAUGGAUCUCUAGGCUCUUGC
Molecule: unclassified non-coding RNA, 229 nt
Filed under: fungal sp.
Lineage: Eukaryota; Fungi
Description: partial internal transcribed spacer region
Rfam family: Eukaryotic small subunit ribosomal RNA (bases 1-46)
Source: RNAcentral